This 251-nucleotide ribosomal RNA is filed under the name uncultured bacterium. Its description in RNAcentral is "partial 16S ribosomal RNA". It matches the Rfam family "Bacterial small subunit ribosomal RNA", at positions 525 to 775 of the family's 1533-position model. The record is from RNAcentral.
ACGGAAGGUCCGGGCGUUAUCCGGAUUUAUUGGGUUUAAAGGGAGUGUAGGCGGCCUGUUAAGCGUGUUGUGAAAUGUAGAUGCUCAACAUCUGAACUGCAGCGCGAACUGGCUGGCUUGAGUACACGCAACGUGGGCGGAAUUCAUGGUGUAGCGGUGAAAUGCUUAGAUAUCAUGAGGAACUCCUAUUGCGAAGGCAGCUCACGGGAGUGUCACUGACGCUUAAGCUCGAAGGUGCGGGUAUCAAACAG